AUUGAACGCUGGCGGCAUGCUUUACACAUGCAAGUCGAACGGUAACAGGGUGCUUGCACCGCUGACGAGUGGCGAACGGGUGAGUAAUGCGUCGGAACGUGCCGAGUAGUGGGGGAUAACGCAGCGAAAGUUGUGCUAAUACCGCAUACGUACUGAGGUAGAAAGUGGGGGACCUUCGGGCCUCACGCUAUUCGAGCGGCCGACGUCUGAUUAGCUAGUAGGUGAGGUAAAGGCUCACCUAGGCGACGAUCAGUAGCGGGUCUGAGAGGAUGAUCCGCCACACGGGGACUGAGACACGGCCCAGACUCCUACGGGAGGCAGCAGUGGGGAAUUUUGGACAAUGGGCGAAAGCCUGACGCAGCGACGCCGCGUGAGGGAAGAAGGCCUUCGGGUUGUAAACCUCUUUCAGGUGGGACGAAGCCACUCGGGUGAAUAGCCCAGAGGGUGACGGUACCUCCAGAAGAAGCCCCGGCUAACUACGUGCCAGCCGCCGCGGUAA
Molecule: ribosomal RNA, 499 nt
Filed under: uncultured bacterium
Lineage: Bacteria
Description: partial 16S ribosomal RNA
Rfam family: Bacterial small subunit ribosomal RNA
Source: RNAcentral